GACGAACGCUGGCGGCGUGCCUAACACAUGCAAGUCGAGCGAUGAAGCACCUUCGGGUGUGAAUUAGCAGCGAACGGGUGAGGAACACGUGAGAAAUCUGCCUUCAACACUGGGAUAACUCCGGGAAACCGGGGCUAAUACCGGAUAUGAAACCUGCGGGCAUCCGCGGGUUUGGAAAGUUCUUCGGUUGAAGAUGAUCUCGCGGCCUAUCAGCUUGUUGGGGAGGUAAUGGCUCACCAAGGCGACGACGGGUAGCCGGCCUGGGAGGGCGACCGGCCACAAGGGGACUGAGGGACGGACCAGACUGCUACUGGAGGCAGCGGGGGGGAAUAUUGGGCAAUGGAGGAAACUCUGACCCAGCGACGCCGGGUGCGGGAUGAAGGCCUUCGGGUUGUAAACCGCUUUCAGCAGGGAAGAAGCGAAAGUGACGGUACCUGCAGAAGAAGCACCGGCUAACUAUGUGCCAGCCGCCGCUGUAA
RNAcentral lists this ribosomal RNA (479 nucleotides) under uncultured bacterium. Its description in RNAcentral is "partial 16S ribosomal RNA". It matches the Rfam family "Bacterial small subunit ribosomal RNA", at positions 28 to 523 of the family's 1533-position model. The record is from RNAcentral.